CCUACGGGAGGCAGCAGUGGGGAAUAUUGCACAAUGGGGGAAACCCUGAUGCAGCGACGCCGCGUGAGUGAAGAAGUAUUUCGGUAUGUAAAGCUCUAUCAGCAGGGAAGAAAAUGACGGUACCUGAGUAAGAAGCCCCGGCUAACUACGUGCCAGCAGCCGCGGUAAUACGUAGGGGGCAAGCGUUAUCCGGAUUUACUGGGUGUAAAGGGAGCGCAGACGGCUCUGCAAGUCUGAAGUGAAAGCCCGCGGCUUAACCGCGGGACUGCUUUGGAAACUGCAAGGCUUGAGUAUCGGAGGGGCAGGCGGAAUUCCUAGUGUAGCGGUGAAAUGCGUAGAUAUUAGGAAGAACACCGGUGGCGAAGGCGGCCUGCUGGACGAAAACUGACGUUGAGGCUCGAAGGCGUGGGGAGCAAACAGGAUUAGAUACCCUGGUAGUC
Molecule: ribosomal RNA, 440 nt
Filed under: Stomatobaculum longum
Lineage: Bacteria; Bacillati; Bacillota; Clostridia; Lachnospirales; Lachnospiraceae
Description: bacterial SSU rRNA
Rfam family: Bacterial small subunit ribosomal RNA
Source: RNAcentral